GUGGGGAAUAUUGGACAAUGGGCGAAAGCCUGAUCCAGCAAUGCCGCGUGAGUGAUGAAGGCCUUAGGGUUGUAAAGCUCUUUUACCAGGGAUGAUAAUGACAGUACCUGGAGAAUAAGCUCCGGCUAACUCCGUGCCAGCAGCCGCGGUAAUACGGAGGGAGCUAGCGUUGUUCGGAAUUACUGGGCGUAAAGCGCGCGUAGGCGGCUACUCAAGUCAGAGGUGAAAGCCCGGGGCUCAACCCCGGAACUGCCUUUGAAACUAGGUAGCUAGAAUCUUGGAGAGGUCAGUGGAAUUCCGAGUGUAGAGGUGAAAUUCGUAGAUAUUCGGAAGAACACCAGUGGCGGAGGCGACUGACUGGACAAGUAUUGACGCUGAGGUGCGAAAGCGUGGGGAGCAAACAGGAUUAGAUACCCCAGUAGUCC
This 425-nucleotide ribosomal RNA is filed under the name uncultured bacterium. RNAcentral describes it as "partial 16S ribosomal RNA". It matches the Rfam family "Bacterial small subunit ribosomal RNA", at positions 354 to 796 of the family's 1533-position model. The record is from RNAcentral.